RNAcentral lists this signal recognition particle RNA (98 nucleotides) under Membranihabitans marinus. RNAcentral describes it as "Membranicola marinus signal recognition particle sRNA small type". It matches the Rfam family "Bacteroidales small SRP". From Rfam's summary of the family: The non-coding component of the signal recognition particle in Bacteroides Lineage: Bacteria; Pseudomonadati; Bacteroidota; Saprospiria; Saprospirales; Saprospiraceae. The record is from RNAcentral.
GACAGAGAACCAUGCGUCCAGCUCCUGCUGAAUCCCCCCAGGGUGGAAACGCAGCAAGGGUAGGCGGUUGUAGCGGACGGCAUGUGUUCUCUAUUUUU